GUGCUGGGCAUCCCUCAUCAUACAAUUGUCAUGUGAAGUCAUUUCUUUUUCAAGAUUUACUUGUUUAUAAUAAGAAUCCUUUUAAAUUUUGAUUUUUCUACCAUUGCGUCCAAAUGCUGUUAUGUCUUGCAUCACCAUUUGGCCUUCCCGCAGUUUGAUGUUGGGUUUAAAAGAUGUUCCUGAGUGUUAACAGGACAUCCCAAUCCACUUCUCAAUUGGUAGAGCUAAAUUUUCCAUAAUUUUCUUUGCUGAACCCACUUGCUGCUAACAAGGAUGUUUAAAGAUGCACACGGCAGUGACGGCACUCAUUGUGCUUACCAAAGGGACAUGCAGACCAACAUUUUAAUACCACAGUUUCUUGUAUACAAUCAAUUGUCGAUACCAAAUUACAUGAUAUGGUAAAAUAAAAUAACUG
Molecule: non-coding RNA, 415 nt
Organism: Paramuricea clavata
Lineage: Eukaryota; Metazoa; Cnidaria; Anthozoa; Malacalcyonacea; Plexauridae
Source: the annotation of a GenBank genome assembly